CCUACGGGUGGCAGCAGUGAGGAAUAUUGGUCAAUGGACGAGAGUCUGAACCAGCCAAGUAGCGUGAAGGAUGACUGCCCUAUGGGUUGUAAACUUCUUUUAUAUGGGAAUAAAAUGUUCCACGUGUGGGAUUUUGUAUGUACCAUAUGCAUAAGGAUCGGCUAACUACGUGCCAGCAGCCGAGGUCAUACGUAGGAUCCGAGCAUUAUCCGGAGUGACUGGGUGUAAAGAGUUGCGUAGGUGGCAUAAUAAGUAGCUAGUGAAAACUGGUGGGUCAACCAUUCAGACUAUUAGCUAAACUGGUUAGCUCGAGACCGUUAGGGGUAACUGGAAUUUCUAGUGUAGGAGUGAAAUCCGUAGAUAUUAGAAGGAACACCAAUAGCGUAGGCAGGUUACUGGGACGGUUCUGACACUAAGGCACGAAAGCGUAGGGAGCAAACGGGAUUAGAUACCCUAGUAGUC
This 462-nucleotide ribosomal RNA is filed under the name uncultured bacterium. RNAcentral describes it as "partial 16S ribosomal RNA". It matches the Rfam family "Bacterial small subunit ribosomal RNA", at positions 338 to 795 of the family's 1533-position model. The record is from RNAcentral.